This 708-nucleotide ribosomal RNA is filed under the name uncultured bacterium. RNAcentral's name for it is "bacterial SSU rRNA". It matches the Rfam family "Bacterial small subunit ribosomal RNA", at positions 27 to 749 of the family's 1533-position model. The record is from RNAcentral.
GGACGAACGCUGGCGGUAUGCUUAACACAUGCAAGUCGAACGAGAAGGAAGAGCUUGCUCUUCCUGAAAGUGGCGAACGGGUGAGUAACGCGUGGGUAACCUACCCUUUGGAAAGGAAUAGCCUCGGGAAACUGGGAGUAAUGCCUUAUAAGAUACGUUUGUCGCAUGGCAUUUGUAUUAAACGCUCCGGCGCCAUAGGAUGGACCCGCGUCCCAUUAGCUAGUUGGUGAGAUAACAGCUCACCAAGGCCACGAUGGGUAACCGGUCUGAGAGGGCGAACGGUCACACUGGAACUGAGACACGGUCCAGACUCCUACGGGAGGCAGCAGUGGGGAAUAUUGCGCAAUGGGGGCAACCCUGACGCAGCAAUACCGCGUGAGUGAAGAAGGUUUUCGGAUCGUAAAGCUCUGUUAUUGGGGAAGAAAAAAAGACAGUACCCAAGAAGAAAGUUCCGGCUAACUACGUGCCAGCAGCCGCGGUAAUACGUAGGGAACAAGCGUUGUCCGGAUUUACUGGGCGUAAAGGGCACGCAGGCGGUUUUUUAAGUCAGAUGUGAAAGGCCACAGCUCAACUGUGGACAUGCAUUUGAAACUGAAAGACUUGAGUAUUGGAGAGGCAAGUGGAAUUCCUAGUGUAGCGGUGAAAUGCGUAGAUAUUAGGAGGAACACCGGUGGCGAAGGCGGCUUGCUGGACAAAUACUGACGCUGA